Molecule: ribosomal RNA, 468 nt
Filed under: uncultured bacterium
Lineage: Bacteria
Description: partial 16S ribosomal RNA
Rfam family: Bacterial small subunit ribosomal RNA
Source: RNAcentral
GACGAACGCUGGCGGCGUGCUUAACACAUGCAAGUCGAACGGAAAGGCCCUGCUUUUGUGGGGUGCUCGAGUGGCGAACGGGUGAGUAGCACGUGAGUAACCUGCCCUUGACUUUGGGAUAACUUCAGGAAACUGGGGCUAAUACCGGAUAGGAGCUCCUGCUGCAUGGUGGGGGUUGGAAAGUUUCGGCGGUUGGGGAUGGACUCGCGGCUUAUCAGCUUGUUGGUGGGGUAGUGGAUUACCAAGGCUUUGACGGGUAGCCGGCCUGAGAGGGUGACCGGCCACAUUGGGACUGAGAUACGGCCCAGACUCCUACGGGAGGCAGCAGUGGGGAAUAUUGCACAAUGGGCGGAAGCCUGAUGCAGCAACGCCGCGUGCGGGAUGACGGCCUUCGGGUUGUAAACCGCUUUCGCCUGUGACGAAGCGUGAGUGACGGUAAUGGGUAAAGAAGCACCGGCUAACUACGUG